GUGCAACAUUGAAAUUAUUCAACGCUGCCAAUAAAUCGCUUCCCGUAUCAUCGUCGCUGCUCACCGGUGUACCAGAAACGACACUAUCCACCGUGAUAUGAUGAUCACCUCAGUCCGGAACGAGAUUACCAAGUUUGUCCGUAAACAUGAGAUAAGGCUGUAUCACCACAUCAACCCAGCAGCAAUUAAACUACUUGAUAAUUCACAAGACAUUUGGCGUUUCAAACGCCAAAGACCAUACGAUUUAGUAUAGGACUCUUAGACUACGGUCGGGGCUAUUUCAUUGCGAGUGGAAAUCUCCCCCCUUUUUUUCUUCGUACAUCAAUGGAUCAGUAUUCUAGCACACCUUUAUAAUGUAUUUCUGAAGAUCUUUGAUCGUUGUAAUAAAAGCUUUCGGGUAAUUUAAUAAAAAAAAAAACAUGUACACUUGGAUCUUAUCUAAUAUAUGGUUAACAGCGGAUUUAUUUGAUCAUAAAAUAUGCUUAGUUUGUUAUGAAUUGCUUCGCCAUAAUCGGAAUGAAAAUAAAACUCCUUACCGUAAAGGUGGUCGCAUUCUAAUAAUUUUCUAAAAAUUAUUAGGACUCUGAAAUACCUAUACAAAAAUAUAGCAUUCAAUUUAAUGGACUCAUAUUAAUAUGUACAAUAGUCCAACUGAAUUAAAUUGCGAAGCUAACGUUUAUCAAUGUUUUUUCUUUCAGAUUUAGUCACUAAAACUGCCGAAAAAUUUUGUAAUCGUCAAAGUAUGUAUAUAAGUACAGUUUAACUUGUAGGCUUGAAAAAAGCUAUAUUUUAAAGCUUUUAGGGCAAUUUAAAUAUCAAUUAAUUAAUUAUUGUUUUUACGUUAAGUAAUUAUUAAUUUAUUGUAUCUUCGUAUUUUAAUUAUAUUCCAUAUAAAAUCCAUUCAAAAUAUCGUCAGUUAACUGUAGAUGAAAAAAAAAAAAAAAACGAAAAUACUUUGCAUAUUGGGCGGGCCACUUUUGUAGGUGAGAAGUUGAUUACGUUAUUUUAAUUUUGUUAAGCUACAAUAGCCAACACUAACCUUCAGGAUAGCGAAAAUGUGAUUUUAUCAUAUUUCAAACAUCUAGCUAUUGUAGGUUAGAUUUGGUUAGUUGAGUUUUAAGAAAAGUUUAAAUUUUUUAUUCAUAUAUAGAAAGUAGUAAUCUGCAAUAUUAAAAGAUCCAAUGCCUUAGGAUAUAGACGAAAAUUUAGUGUA
Non-coding RNA from Cinara cedri, 1213 nucleotides. The record is from the annotation of a GenBank genome assembly. NCBI's taxonomy places the organism in Eukaryota, Metazoa, Arthropoda, Insecta, Hemiptera, Aphididae.